Non-coding RNA from Ruminococcus sp. CAG:9, 235 nucleotides. NCBI's taxonomy places the organism in Bacteria, Bacillati, Bacillota, Clostridia, Eubacteriales, Oscillospiraceae. The record is from Rfam.
AAAAAGGCUGUGAAAAAGAGGAGUAGGCGGUAAUGCCCCACAGAGAGGGAAGCUUAUAAGCUGGAAGGUUUCCCGGGAACAGAAGUGCUGAAGGUAGCUUUGGAGCCGGGAGGCUGAAGUGAGUGUGUAUGAAUCAUAUCAGAGUUAUAUACGCGCAUGGUAGGUUUUCACGUAUCCCGCGUUAAGGGAAUGAGAGACAAACUAAGGUGGUACCGCGAUCUAUGUCGCCCUUUGC